AACGAACGCUGGCGGCAUGCCUAACACAUGCAAGUCGAACGAGAUCUUCGGGUCUAGUGGCGCACGGGUGCGUAACGCGUGGGAAUCUGCCCUUUGGUUCGGGAUAACAGUUGGAAACGACUGCUAAUACCGGAUGAUGACGAAAGUCCAAAGAUUUAUCGCCAGAGGAUGAGCCCGCGUAGGAUUAGCUAGUUGGUGUGGUAAAGGCGCACCAAGGCGACGAUCCUUAGCUGGUCUGAGAGGAUGAUCAGCCACACUGGGACUGAGACACGGCCCAGACUCCUACGGGAGGCAGCAGUGGGGAAUAUUGGAAAAUGGGCGAAAGCCUGAUCCAGCAAUGCCGCGUGAGUGAUGAAGGCCUUAGGGUUGUAAAGCUCUUUUACCCGGGAUGAUAAUGACAGUACCGGGAGAAUAAGCUCCGGCCAACUCCGUGCCAGCAGCCGCCGUAA
This 449-nucleotide ribosomal RNA is filed under the name uncultured bacterium. RNAcentral's name for it is "partial 16S ribosomal RNA". It matches the Rfam family "Bacterial small subunit ribosomal RNA", at positions 29 to 523 of the family's 1533-position model. The record is from RNAcentral.